UUAGUUACAUUUGAAGUAUCAAAAUUACUAAGGUC
Molecule: small RNA, 35 nt
Filed under: Anaerobutyricum hallii
Lineage: Bacteria; Bacillati; Bacillota; Clostridia; Lachnospirales; Lachnospiraceae
Description: CRISPR_Spacer
Source: RNAcentral